Molecule: ribosomal RNA, 253 nt
Filed under: uncultured bacterium
Lineage: Bacteria
Description: partial 16S ribosomal RNA
Rfam family: Bacterial small subunit ribosomal RNA
Source: RNAcentral
UACGAAGGGGGCUAGCGUUGUUCGGAUUUACUGGGCGUAAAGCGCACGUAGGCGGAUCGUUAAGUCAGGGGUGAAAUCCUGGAGCUCAACUCCAGAACUGCCUUUGAUACUGGCGAUCUUGAGUCCGGAAGAGGUGAGUGGAACUGCGAGUGUAGAGGUGAAAUUCGUAGAUAUUCGCAAGAACACCAGUGGCGAAGGCGGCUCACUGGCCCGAUACUGACGCUGAGGUGCGAAAGCGUGGGGAGCAAACAGG